This 250-nucleotide ribosomal RNA is filed under the name uncultured bacterium. RNAcentral's name for it is "partial 16S ribosomal RNA". It matches the Rfam family "Bacterial small subunit ribosomal RNA", at positions 58 to 334 of the family's 1533-position model. The record is from RNAcentral.
CAAGUCGAGCGCUUCACUUCGGUGGGGAGCGGCGGACGGGUUAGUAACGCGUGGGAACAUACCCUUUUCUAAGGAAUAGCCACUGGAAACGGUGAGUAAUACCUUAUACGCCCUUCGGGGGAAAGAUUUAUCGGUGAAGGAUUGGCCCGCGUUAGAUUAGUUUGUUGGUGGGGUAAUGGCCUACCAAGACUACGAUCUAUAGCUGGUUUGAGAGGAUGAUCAGCAACACUGGGACUGAGACACGGCCCAG